RNAcentral lists this ribosomal RNA (253 nucleotides) under uncultured bacterium. Its description in RNAcentral is "partial 16S ribosomal RNA". It matches the Rfam family "Bacterial small subunit ribosomal RNA", at positions 524 to 776 of the family's 1533-position model. The record is from RNAcentral.
UACGUAGGGGGCUAGCGUUGUCCGGAAUCAUUGGGCGUAAAGAGCGUGUAGGCGGCCCGGUAAGUCCGCUGUGAAAGUCGGGGGCUCAACCCUCGAAUGCCGGUGGAUACUGUCGGGCUAGAGUGCGGAAGAGGCGAGUGGAAUUCCUGGUGUAGCGGUGAAAUGCGCAGAUAUCAGGAGGAACACCGAUUGCGAAGGCAGCUUACUACCCGAAUAUUGACACUGAGGCACGAAAGCGUGGGGAUCAAACAGG